GACGAACGCUGGCGGCGUGCUUAACACAUGCAAGUCGAACGGAAAGGCCCUGCUUUUGUGGGGUGCUCGAGUGGCGAACGGGUGAGUAACACGUGAGUAACCUGCCCUUGACUUUGGGAUAACUUCAGGAAACUGGGGCUAAUACCGGAUAGGAGCUCCUGCUGCAUGGUGGGGGUUGGAAAGUUUCGGCGGUUGGGGAUGGACUCGCGGCUUAUCAGCUUGUUGGUGGGGUAGUGGCUUACCAAGGCUUUGACGGGUAGCCGGCCUGAGAGGGUGACCGGCCACAUUGGGACUGAGAUACGGGCCCAAAUCCUACGGGAGGCAGGAGGGGGGAAUAUUGCACAAUGGGCGGAAGCCUGAUGCAGCAACGCCGCGUGCGGGAUGACGGCCUUCGGGUUGUAAACCGCUUUCGCCUGUGACGAAGCGUGAGUGACGGUAAUGGGUAAAGAAGCACCGGCUAACUACGUG
RNAcentral lists this ribosomal RNA (468 nucleotides) under uncultured bacterium. RNAcentral describes it as "partial 16S ribosomal RNA". It matches the Rfam family "Bacterial small subunit ribosomal RNA", at positions 28 to 507 of the family's 1533-position model. The record is from RNAcentral.